GUAUGAGGAAGCAAAGAGGAGGAGAAGCUGCGUAGUCAACGGGAGGAUUUCAGUGACAUGGUUGCCGAGAAUGAGAAGAAGAGGAAACGGAAAAUGCAGGAAAAGGAUGGAAAA
Molecule: non-coding RNA, 114 nt
Organism: Camellia sinensis
Lineage: Eukaryota; Viridiplantae; Streptophyta; Magnoliopsida; Ericales; Theaceae
Source: RefSeq, a predicted model, not a curated record